Juglans regia (Persian walnut) is the source of this 2163-nucleotide long non-coding RNA. RefSeq lists it as uncharacterized. The transcript has 3 exons. NCBI's taxonomy places the organism in Eukaryota, Viridiplantae, Streptophyta, Magnoliopsida, Fagales, Juglandaceae. The record is from RefSeq and is a predicted model, not a curated record.
CUUCUGAUUCCAGCAGUAUCAAUAAGCCAGAACUUCUGAAAACAAGCAAACAUUUUAAAUCUUCGCUCCUUUCUUCUCCGCAAGAAAUUUUCCUUCAGCCCCAUUCUUCCCCAGACCGCAGAGUCCCCUUCUCUCCAGUGGUCGCAUUCUCCAGCCAAAAGCCAUCGUCUUCGUGGUCUUCAACGUAAGUCUCUCUUCCUCUUCUCCGUGCCGUCUCUUCUUUCCCUCUUCUCCGAUUCUUCAACAUAAAUUACCUGCCAAUUUGCUACCCAGGACAAAUAAUUAUUGAAUCGGCUUGGCUCCACGAAUCAUCCAGAAGGCACUACAAAUUCAUCCACAAAUCGGCUGGGCUCUACCCUAUACAACAUCCACGAAAUGUAAGUACGGCUGGAUCUCUGAAAAUUAAGUAAUUGCUAAGAUUAAUAUGUAUAACUACUGGCUAGGCUGCAUAUAUCUAUGCAUAUGGGUUAAGAACAAUGUCGUGAUCAGGGUACGCCCAUAAAUUAAUGCCAUGAUCAGCUCGAUCGAGCUGUAAUCUGCCAUCAAGUUGUAUAUAUAGUCUUUGGACCACCAGAUUAAAUUAAUUGAGAGCUAGUUAAUCAAACAGAAGAUCAGAGGCCUCUUACUUGAUAUUCAUGCUCAUUGCUCAUGGAUUUUUGGUGAUCUUCCAGCAUCAUCACACACACACACACACACACACACACACACACACACACACACAUAUAUGAAAUAUCCACCUCCAAAGUUUUAAUACUCUGAUGAACUAUAUACACACACAUAUAUACAAAUAAAAAAUUAUAUUUUGCUAGUCAGUACUAAUUAUAUUCAAUCUAGGUCCAUAAUGAAGUCAUGAAGUAGAACUACACAAAUGCAUGUUCUACUAAUUUAAUAAUGUGGUUCACCUUGAGAUAAGGGAAUUGACUUUGUUGGGUUUGUUUUUUUUUUUUGUGAAUGAUUGGUGUCUGUUUGGUGUAUAAUAUGCUGCCAUUUAUAUUGGAUAGUCCUAGAAAAGUGGCUGCAGGUGGUUGUUUGAUGCAGUUUAGUGGUGAAUCAAGUGUCUUAUUAUAGUGGAGCUCUUAUUUGUUUCUUGAGUGUAUGGUUUUUAAUUAAUUUUGCAUGCUACUACUGGUUUCAAGAGUGAAGAUGAAAAUACGAACCCUGUUUGUUGUCUAGAAAUGGGCAUUUUUCUGUUUGCUGACCUGAAGAAAAAUAUUAAAAACAUAUAUAUCCCAUCUCAUUUUCAUGUGUGAAGAUAUGUGUGUAAAUACGUCUGAAGACAUGUGUGAAGGUAUGUAAAGAAACUGUAGGAAAGAAAGUUUUGCAUGUAGGAACAUUAUACCAUUCUUCCAGUAACAGUAUUCUCAUACUGUGGAUUUGUGUUUGAUUCUUUGCUUCAGCAUAUGAUAAUUUGUAUAUUUGUAUUUGAUGUUAGAGUAUGGUUAUCAUAAUGCUCUGGUUUCUCUGUUGGUCUGUACAUUUGGGAGAUAAAGGGCUCAUUAUUUGCACUUGUAUAAUUUGCUUUUUGGAUUUGAUUGUUUGAUUCAAACUAUUUUGAACUUUUGACGUUAGGUCUUGCUAAACUGUUUUUUCCCCUGCCCAUGUGAUGUAGGAAAGAUAAGCUUGUAUCAGGACAAACUAGAGAGGUUCAUAGACUUGAGUAAAGCACCACUUCGACCCUCUACUACCUUGAAUUAUCAGGCAGCAACACGUUUUAUUGAGCAUUCUUUCCCUGACCUGACCCCAGGUAAAUUGUUCUUUUCUAAUUUUUAUGUUCAUGAAUCUUUAACCAUUUUUAGCUCUUUGCAUUGAGGGAUUGCUCAUUUUUUGUACACCAGAAGCUAAGUAUGAGAAAUAUUAGUAGAGGAGAGGGGCCAAAGAUGAAGUAUCUAGAGGAGUGUCCAAUAGAAGCGGAAGUAUCAAUCAUCUGAAAAACAAUCGGUUCAAAUAGCUGCCAAGGAAUUUCUUGAGAAGGCAGCCCGUGAACUUUGAUAAUAAAGGUGGUUUUAGGGGACCUCUACAGAUUCUGAGCCUUUUAUGUAUAAUUCUAGAUAUCAUGGAUUCAUCUUUCCCUGUGACAGUAACAACUCUUUGAAGGGUUGGGUAGAAGAAAGGUUGGCAUCUUUGUAUAUAUGAUUCUUGGGUGUGAAGGGUUGGCAAAAUGUA